Molecule: transfer RNA, 77 nt
Filed under: Planctomycetota bacterium
Lineage: Bacteria; Pseudomonadati; Planctomycetota
Description: Planctomycetes bacterium (soil metagenome) tRNA-Pro
Rfam family: tRNA
About the family: Transfer RNA (tRNA) molecules are approximately 80 nucleotides in length.
Source: RNAcentral
CGGAACGUAGCUCAGUCCAGCAGAGCGCUGCUCUUGGGCAGCAGAGGUCGCGGGUCCAAGUCCCGCCGUUCCGACCA